UUUUUUCUAACCCUAAGUUGUCUCCCACUUUACCACCACCAGCAAAAUUAUGACGACGAAUCCCCUCGCAUAUGAGCUAGUGGCUGACGAAUAACCACCACUUCAAUCUAACCCCCAAAAUCGGGUGACCGAGUCUUAAAUCAACAGGGAGCCAGGUUAGGGUGUUAUGUAAAUUUGGGUUUAAGAUGAUGAUUCAUUCUGUAGGGUCUUUUCAUGUUUAUUCAAGAGUUGACUUAUAAGAACUUGCAUCAAGGAUAUCCAACUGAGACUAAGUGCGAGACUGGUUACAAACCUCUGGUUUUUUAA
This 306-nucleotide long non-coding RNA is filed under the name Helianthus annuus (common sunflower). RNAcentral's name for it is "sRNA HanXRQr2_Chr11g0497521". The record is from RNAcentral. Lineage: Eukaryota; Viridiplantae; Streptophyta; Magnoliopsida; Asterales; Asteraceae.